CACAUUGGAACUGAGACACGGUCCAAACUCCUACGGGAGGCAGCAGUGGGGAAUAUUGCACAAUGGGCGAAAGCCUGAUGCAGCAACGCCGCGUGAGCGAAGAAGGCCUUUGGGUCGUAAAGCUCUGUCCUUGGGGAAGAAACAAAUGACGGUACCCAAGGAGGAAGCCCCGGCUAACUACGUGCCAGCAGCCGCGGUAAUACGUAGGGGGCGAGCGUUAUCCGGAAUUAUUGGGCGUAAAGAGUGCGUAGGUGGUCUUGUAAGCGUGGGGUGAAAGGCAGUGGCUUAACCAUUGUAAGCCCUGCGAACUGUGAGACUUGAGUGCAGGAGAGGAAAGCGGAAUUCCUAGUGUAGC
This 355-nucleotide ribosomal RNA is filed under the name Aminipila butyrica. Its description in RNAcentral is "bacterial SSU rRNA". It matches the Rfam family "Bacterial small subunit ribosomal RNA", at positions 309 to 679 of the family's 1533-position model. Lineage: Bacteria; Bacillati; Bacillota; Clostridia; Peptostreptococcales; Anaerovoracaceae. The record is from RNAcentral.